UGGGGAAUAUUGGACAAUGGGCGCAAGCCUGAUCCAGCAAUGCCGCGUGUGUGAAGAAGGCCUUCGGGUUGUAAAGCACUUUUAUCAGGAGCGAAACGCUGUCGGCUAAUACCCGGCGGAACUGACGGUACCUGAGGAAUAAGCACCGGCUAACUUCGUGCCAGCAGCCGCGGUAAUACGAAGGGUGCAAGCGUUAAUCGGAAUUACUGGGCGUAAAGCGUGCGUAGGCGGUUUCUUAAGUCUGCUGUGAAAUCCCCGGGCUCAACCUGGGAAUGGCAGUGGAUACUGGGAGGCUAGAGUGUGUCAGAGGGUGGUGGAAUUCCCGGUGUAGCGGUGAAAUGCGAAUAGAGAUCGGGAGGAACAUCAGUGGCGAAGGCGGCCACCUGGGACAACACUGACGCUGAGGCACGAAAGCGUGGGGAGCAAACAGGAUUAGAUACCCUGGUAGUCCACGCCCUAAACGAUGCGAACUGGAUGUUGGUCUCAACUCGGAGAUCAGUGUCGAAGCUAACGCGUUAAGUUCGCCGCCUGGGGAGUACGGUCGCAAGACUGAAACUUAAAUGAAUUGACGGGGUCAUAGCUGUUUCCUG
This 590-nucleotide ribosomal RNA is filed under the name uncultured bacterium. Its description in RNAcentral is "partial 16S ribosomal RNA". It matches the Rfam family "Bacterial small subunit ribosomal RNA", at positions 355 to 1376 of the family's 1533-position model. The record is from RNAcentral.